AUGAACGCUGGCGGCGUGCUUAACACAUGCAAGUCGAACGAGGUCCAUGGAGCUUGCUCCGGAAGAUCUAGUGGCGAACGGGUGCAUAACACGUGAGAAACCUGCCUCAGUCUCUGGGAUAACAGUUGGAAACGACUGCUAAUACCGGAUGCCGUCACACCAUCACAUGGUGGAGUGACGAAAGAUUUAUCGGAUUGAGAGGGUCUCGCGGCCUAUCAGCUAGUUGGAGAGGUAACGGCUCACCAAGGCAUCGACGGGUAGCUGGUCUGAGAGGAUGAUCAGCCACACUGGGACUGAGACACGGCCCAGACUCCUACGGGAGGCAGCAGUGGGGAAUCUUGCACAAUGGGCGAAAGCCUGAUGCAGCAACGCCGCGUGCGGGAAGAAGGCCCUAGGGUUGUAAACCGCUUUCAGUAGGGAAGAAAAUGACGGUACCUACAGAAGAAGGUGCGGCCAACUACGU
Molecule: ribosomal RNA, 463 nt
Filed under: uncultured bacterium
Lineage: Bacteria
Description: bacterial SSU rRNA
Rfam family: Bacterial small subunit ribosomal RNA
Source: RNAcentral